RNAcentral lists this transfer RNA (71 nucleotides) under Marmota monax (woodchuck). RNAcentral describes it as "tRNA.Ala". Lineage: Eukaryota; Metazoa; Chordata; Mammalia; Rodentia; Sciuridae. The record is from RNAcentral.
GGGGUUGUGGCUCAGCGGUAGAGCACUCUCCUAGCAUGUGCGAGGCCCUGGGUUUGAGCCUCAGCACCACA